GCCAAGAUAGUUAAAAAAUAACAUUAGGUCGUGACCCUAAAGAUAGAGGUUUGUGCCUCUUCCCGGCC
RNAcentral lists this transfer RNA (68 nucleotides) under Pogona vitticeps (central bearded dragon). RNAcentral describes it as "tRNA-His". It matches the Rfam family "tRNA". Rfam says of the family: Transfer RNA (tRNA) molecules are approximately 80 nucleotides in length. Their secondary structure includes four short double-helical elements and three loops (D, anti-codon, and T loops). Lineage: Eukaryota; Metazoa; Chordata; Lepidosauria; Squamata; Agamidae. The record is from RNAcentral.